Molecule: long non-coding RNA, 827 nt
Organism: Amaranthus tricolor (Joseph's coat)
Lineage: Eukaryota; Viridiplantae; Streptophyta; Magnoliopsida; Caryophyllales; Amaranthaceae
Exons: 3
Source: RefSeq, a predicted model, not a curated record
CCUUUUAAGUUGUUAGUGCUUCCUUCAAUUCUUAUUUCCUACAUACUCUUUUUAGUUCAUUCUCAUCCUUACUCUCUAAAUGAAGCCAAAAGUUUGAAGCUAUCAGUGUUAUACACCAUAUUCAUAUCUAUUGAAUUUUCAUACUCAUUUAUUUAAAGCAUCAAAAGUAAAUGAGUAAACCUUUUCAUUCAAUAGCCUUACAUUUAUUUAGCUGUUCAUUCAAUCCUAAAAUACUUUCUAGGUGGGAUCGAAUAAGUGUGAAUUUGUUGUUAGUUAAUCAGAUCUUCAAAACCCCACGUAGGUGGGACAUUGGGGUAAUAGAAUGUUGUUGGUAGUUAUGAGUCCUUUUGUGGUAUCUGCACCAACGUCUUGGGCUGCAGUGUCUUUGUUAAACGUCUCAGUUUGGUUUGUUCGAGAUUUACCAUGGGCAUCACUCGAUAUGUCACAACUACAGCGAAAAUAGGUAAAGUGAUGAUUUCAGAUUUACAAAUCAGGAGCACAGCACAGAUGGGUUGGUCUUCUGACAGCAGCAAGAGAAACAACAAACAAUGACUUAGAUUUCAGAUGCCUUGGAUUUUUUGCACCAAGAUUUCUGAUAAGGAUCAAUUUUUAACAAGGCACACAGAAAACAGAAACAAAUUUGUCACACUGUCAGCCAAUGCUUACAGAUUUCAGGGCAAAUGAAUGACUGAUUUCCUUCAGAUUUUGCUUCUAAAUUGUUUCAUGCAAUGACUAUAAUGAAUUAAAAACUUACACAUGAAUUCAAAGAACAACCUAUUGUAAUUAACAUUUUUUAGACAAUACAGAAGAAUACCAAUUGAUACCAA